This 841-nucleotide long non-coding RNA is filed under the name Nicotiana benthamiana. RNAcentral describes it as "long non-coding RNA (NBEN_LNC032494)". Lineage: Eukaryota; Viridiplantae; Streptophyta; Magnoliopsida; Solanales; Solanaceae. The record is from RNAcentral.
AAAAUGGAUUUGAAUAGACCUUUAUAUAUUGAUGAAUAAAGCUGAAAAUUUGUAACUCAAUGGGAAUAACAAGGCAACAAUUGUGGGACUGAGAUGCUGAAAUUACGAACUGGAACCUCGACAUAGAAGCCUCACCUGACAGAUGAAGAUGGCAGAAGUUUUAGUUGGUUUAAAGCUGUUUUUGGAGUUGUUUGGUGGCUGAUUUUUGGUGGGUGUUGAGGGCGGUAUCUGCUGCGUUUUGGGGUGGUUUUGCUGAGGUUUUUGAGCUGGUUAGUGAGUGUUUCACGGUGGUCUUAAAGUAGUGUUAAUUGCUGGUUGAAGGUGGCUUUGGGGUUAGUUUUUAGGCCGAUAUUUGGAGCUACUGUUACUGAUUUUUCAUGGUUAAAAUGGGGGAUUUACAACUGUUUAAGGAAGAUAUUGGAGGGCUGAUUUGGGGCUGUUUUUGGACAGUGUUUGGCAUGGUUUAACUGGGGUUUUGUGGCUGUGUUCUCAUCGAGAUACUGAUGUGUUUUUGCAGGUAUUGAGACUCAUUUUAGUGGCUUUUUCAGAGCUUUUGCAGCCAGCUUUCAUGGCUGUUUGGUGGGGUUCAUGAGGUUCACUCUGGUUUUUUAUUUUUUUGUUCCUCUUUCUAGAUCCGUUCCCCCCAGAUGUUCACGUCUCUGUUAUUCACCUCCCUUUCAUGUGUGUGUAUGUAUUAUAUAGCUGAAUGAGAGUAUUUUUUUGUGUCAAUUGAAGAGCAAGAAAGGUUAUAGAUAAGGCCAAACGAAAAGUAUUUCCUGAUGAAAGAGUUCAAUGUGGCAGCUAUGUGUGUUUCACAUGAGAGUUAGUAUAAAAAAAAUCC